RNAcentral lists this ribosomal RNA (424 nucleotides) under uncultured bacterium. RNAcentral's name for it is "partial 16S ribosomal RNA". It matches the Rfam family "Bacterial small subunit ribosomal RNA", at positions 354 to 796 of the family's 1533-position model. The record is from RNAcentral.
GUGAGGAAUUUUCCGCAAUGGGCGAAAGCCUGACGGAGCAAUGCCGCGUGAAGGAUGAAGGCCUAUGGGUUGUAAACUUCUUUUCUUAGAAGAAUAUUGACGGUAUCUGAGGAAUAAGCAUCGGCUAACUCUGUGCCAGCAGCCGCGGUAAGACAGAGGAUGCAAGCGUUAUCCGGAAUGAUUGGGCGUAAAGCGUCUGUAGGUGGCUUCAAAAGUCUCCUGUCAAAGAUCAGGGCUUAACCCUGGGCCGGCAGGAGAAACUCUGAGGCUAGAGUUUGGUAGGGGCAGAGGGAAUUCCCGGUGGAGCGGUGAAAUGCGUAGAGAUCGGGAGGAACACCAAAGGCGAAAGCACUCUGCUGGGCCACAACUGACACUGAGAGACGAAAGCGAGGGGAGCAAAAGGGAUUAGAUACCCCAGUAGUCC